UUUUUACAGUGCAGAACUACACACUUUCCCGUUCCUGUACUUUGUUCACAAGUUAAAGAUAAGCAAUGACAUACAUUUUACACAAACGCUCCCUAUAAAUGCCAAUUGAAUUAAUGUCAACUAUCUGCAGGAUACUUGAAGAAAUGGACCUUGUAAUCCUCGUUGUGUGGUUUUUCCUUUGCUUCGAUUCAGGAUAUCCAUCUCCGAUGGGCCCAGAGUGCUACAACCUUCCUGCUCAAAUCACUGACAAGUUGCUCAAAUAUGUAAAUGCAUGUACCAUCAAAAAAAUGUUGUGAGCAUUUUUUCUCUUAAUGUAAUUUUACCUUAUUUAAUGUUAUAUCGAAUUUGUUUCCUAUGAAACUAGUAUAUGUUAAUAUUUUACA
Long non-coding RNA from Dreissena polymorpha, 383 nucleotides. RefSeq lists it as uncharacterized. Lineage: Eukaryota; Metazoa; Mollusca; Bivalvia; Myida; Dreissenidae. The transcript has 3 exons. The record is from RefSeq and is a predicted model, not a curated record.